RNAcentral lists this long non-coding RNA (399 nucleotides) under Panax ginseng (ginseng). RNAcentral's name for it is "long non-coding RNA (PGIN_LNC018126)". Lineage: Eukaryota; Viridiplantae; Streptophyta; Magnoliopsida; Apiales; Araliaceae. The record is from RNAcentral.
CCAUCUCUUUCGGAAAUCUGGAGCUUCAGAGAAAAUUAGCCAAAGAUUUAUGGAAUGCAAUUGUAAUUGAAGAAAAACUUUUGUAGCAAAAGUUUAGAAUUCAGUGGUUGGAUCUUGGAGUUGGAGAUAAAAACUAUAGAUUUUUUCAUGCUAAAACAAAGAGCAGGUGGAACUCUUAACAAAAUCCUUGCUAUUGAGGAUGACCAGGGAGUUAUACCUCAUGAUGCUGAUCAGAUUAAGAAUAUUGUUGUUGGCUGUUAUAGAGACCUCCUUGGUUCUAGAAACUCGACCCCUUGCAGAUGUUAUUUCUCAUAGCAUCAACCCUGAUAUUGCUGCUUCUUUAGAGGCUUAUGUUUCACCAGAGGUGGAACCAGAGGGUCAGAGGGGGUCAUAUGCUGG